GAUGAACGCUGGCGGCGUGCCUAAUACAUGCAAGUCGAGCGAACAGACGAGGAGCUUGCUCCUCUGACGUUAGCGGCGGACGGGUGAGUAACACGUGGAUAACCUACCUAUAAGACUGGGAUAACUUCGGGAAACCGGAGCUAAUACCGGAUAAUAUAUUGAACCGCAUGGUUCAAUAGUGAAAGACGGUUUUGCUGUCACUUAUAGAUGGAUCCGCGCCGCAUUAGCUAGUUGGUAAGGUAACGGCUUACCAAGGCAACGAUGCGUAGCCGACCUGAGAGGGUGAGGGGCAACACUGAAAGGAAGCCGGGGACCAGCCCCUGGGGGGGGGCGGAGGAGGGGAUCCUCCCGCAAGGGGCGAAGGCCGGACGGGACAGCGGCGGGGGAGGGAUGAAGUUCUUGGAAUCGAAAAACUCUUUUAUUAGGGAAAAAAAAGGUUUAAGUAAACUAUGCAGUUCUUGAGGUUCCCUAAUAAGAAAACCAGGGCAAACCACGGG
Molecule: ribosomal RNA, 497 nt
Filed under: uncultured bacterium
Lineage: Bacteria
Description: partial 16S ribosomal RNA
Rfam family: Bacterial small subunit ribosomal RNA
Source: RNAcentral